GGGCCCGCACAAGCGGUGGAGCAUGUGGUUUAAUUCGAUGCAACGCGAAGAACCUUACCUGGUCUUGACAUCCUGCGAACUUUCUAGAGAUAGAUUGGUGCCUUCGGGAACGCAGUGACAGGUGCUGCAUGGCUGUCGUCAGCUCGUGUUGUGAAAUGUUGGUUAAGUCCCGUAACGAGCGCAACCCUUAUCCUUAUUUGCCAGCACUUCGGGUGGGAACUCUAAGGAGACUGCCGGUGACAAACCGGAGGAAGGUGGGGACGACGUCAAGUCAUCAUGGCCCUUACGACCAGGGCUACACACGUGCUACAAUGGUAAGUACAAAGGGACGCGAAGCGGCGACGUGAAG
This 349-nucleotide ribosomal RNA is filed under the name uncultured bacterium. RNAcentral describes it as "bacterial SSU rRNA". It matches the Rfam family "Bacterial small subunit ribosomal RNA", at positions 917 to 1267 of the family's 1533-position model. The record is from RNAcentral.